Acanthosepion pharaonis is the source of this 109-nucleotide non-coding RNA. Lineage: Eukaryota; Metazoa; Mollusca; Cephalopoda; Sepiida; Sepiidae. The record is from the annotation of a GenBank genome assembly.
AGCCAUAUUAUGUUGAAACCCUGGUUCUCAUGUGAUCACCAAAGUUAAGCAACAUAGAGCCUGGUUAGUACAUAGAUGGGUGACUGCUUGGGAAUACCAGGUGCUGUAA